RNAcentral lists this ribosomal RNA (472 nucleotides) under uncultured Rhodocyclaceae bacterium. RNAcentral's name for it is "bacterial SSU rRNA". It matches the Rfam family "Bacterial small subunit ribosomal RNA", at positions 910 to 1382 of the family's 1533-position model. The record is from RNAcentral. Lineage: Bacteria; Pseudomonadati; Pseudomonadota; Betaproteobacteria; Rhodocyclales; Rhodocyclaceae.
UUGACGGGACCCGCACAAGCGGUGGAUGAUGUGAUUAAUUCGAUGCAACGCGAAAACCUUACCUACCCUUGACAUGUCCGGAAUCCCGAAGAGAUUUGGGAGUGCUCGCAAGAGAACCGGAACACAGGUGCUGCAUGGCUGUCGUCAGCUCGUGUCGUGAGAUGUUGGGUUAAGUCCCGCAACGAGCGCAACCCUUGUCAUUAGUUGCCAUCAUUUGGUUGGGCACUCUAAUGAGACUGCCGGUGACAAACCGGAGGAAGGUGGGGAUGACGUCAAGUCCUCAUGGCCCUUAUGGGUAGGGCUUCACACGUCAUACAAUGGUCGGUACAGAGGGUUGCCAACCCGCGAGGGGGAGCUAAUCCCACAAAGCCGAUCGUAGUCCGGAUCGCAGUCUGCAACUCGACUGCGUGAAGUCGGAAUCGCUAGUAAUCGUGGAUCAGCAUGUCACCGGUGAACUACGUUCCCGGGUCUU